CAGCCGCCACGGGAAUACAGAGGCCUCAAGCGUUGUUCGGAAUUACUGGGCGUAAAGGGCGCGUAGGCGGCCAUUCAAGUUAGAUGUGAAAGCCCUGGGCUCAACCUAGGAAUUGCAUUUGAUACUGUUUGGCUUGAGUUCGGGAGAGGUGAGUGGAAUUCCCAGUGUAGAGGUGAAAUUCGUAGAGAUGUGGAGGAAUACCGAUGGCGAAGGCAGCCCCCUGGGCCAAUACUGACGCUCAUGCACGAAAGCGUGGGGAGCAAACAGGAUUAGAUACCCCUGUAGUCCCUGUCUCUUAUAC
This 301-nucleotide ribosomal RNA is filed under the name uncultured bacterium. Its description in RNAcentral is "partial 16S ribosomal RNA". It matches the Rfam family "Bacterial small subunit ribosomal RNA", at positions 509 to 807 of the family's 1533-position model. The record is from RNAcentral.